Molecule: ribosomal RNA, 465 nt
Filed under: Vreelandella stevensii
Lineage: Bacteria; Pseudomonadati; Pseudomonadota; Gammaproteobacteria; Oceanospirillales; Halomonadaceae
Description: partial 16S ribosomal RNA
Rfam family: Bacterial small subunit ribosomal RNA
Source: RNAcentral
CCUACGGAGAGCAGCAGUGGGGAAUAUUGGACAAUGGGCGAAAGCCUGAUCCAGCCAUGCCGCGUGUGUGAAGAAGGCCUUCGGGUUGUAAAGCACUUUCAGUGGGGAAGAAAGCCUUGGGGCUAAUACCCUCGAGGAAGGACAUCACCCACAGAAGAAGCACCGGCUAACUCCGUGCCAGCAGCCGCGGUAAUACGGAGGGUGCGAGCGUUAAUCGGAAUUACUGGGCGUAAAGCGCGCGUAGGCGGUCUGAUAAGCCGGUUGUGAAAGCCCCGGGCUCAACCUGGGAACGGCAUCCGGAACUGUCAGGCUAGAGUGCAGGAGAGGAAGGUAGAAUUCCCGGUGUAGCGGUGAAAUGCGUAGAGAUCGGGAGGAAUACCAGUGGCGAAGGCGGCCUUCUGGACUGACACUGACGCUGAGGUGCGAAAGCGUGGGUAGCAAACAGGAUUAGAUACCCUUGUAGUC